RNAcentral lists this transfer RNA (84 nucleotides) under Candidatus Woesearchaeota archaeon. RNAcentral's name for it is "tRNA-Ser". It matches the Rfam family "tRNA". Rfam says of the family: Transfer RNA (tRNA) molecules are approximately 80 nucleotides in length. Their secondary structure includes four short double-helical elements and three loops (D, anti-codon, and T loops). Lineage: Archaea; Nanobdellati; Candidatus Woesearchaeota. The record is from RNAcentral.
GCCGAGGUGGCACAAUCUGGUACUGCGCUAGCCUUGAGAGCUUGUUCCCUCACGGGUAUCCCGGUUCAAAUCCGGGCCUCGGCG